AUUUCUUUUGCUAGGGGAGACUAGUCUCAUGGAUAAUGUGCCACACAACAUUACCUCUUGUAAGAUGAGAACAUUCCAUAUCACACGAUGUGGCAGUAAAGGACAAUGUGGUACAUACAGGGAAAAGGCAGAGCUGUGAGGAUGAAGCAUGAAGUAAUUAGAAGUUCUUCAAAUGAGCUGGGUGAAAUGGAACAGAAGGUGCAGCCUCGGCAGACAGAACUCUCUGAACACCCAGCCUGACAGUCUCAGGAUUGCUGUCUCGGUCUAACAAAGAGGAAACAGAUUUUACUGCAGUAGGACCAACGUAAUGAUUUCUACGAGCAUUGGCAGGACUUUUCCUGAAUGCAGUGUGAUUGCUUUCUAACUUACACUGUUGUCUGCAUUUUGUGUAUACUGUAUAACCCAAAAAGGAAAUAAAAAAGUACCGCUUUUCUGAGAGAAACCCA
Molecule: long non-coding RNA, 446 nt
Filed under: Parus major (Great Tit)
Lineage: Eukaryota; Metazoa; Chordata; Aves; Passeriformes; Paridae
Description: lncRNA (ENSPMJG00000018647.1)
Source: RNAcentral